Molecule: long non-coding RNA, 508 nt
Organism: Bos taurus (domestic cattle)
Lineage: Eukaryota; Metazoa; Chordata; Mammalia; Artiodactyla; Bovidae
Source: Ensembl
AGAGCAUUCCCACAAGGUUGCAAUUACCUUGAUGAGGUCACUAUGGCCCAAGGACUGGUCUCAGGCUAGCAGGUUAGGAAACCUGAUUUCCCUGAGCCCUUUCAAAGUAGCUCUGCCACCCCUCAGAGAAGUGCUACUCAAAACUCACAGUGCUUAGAAUGAAAUUUCCAGACAAAUUACAGGCUUGUGUGAAGAACACAGUAUGUGCUGAAAAAGAAAACUGACAAGAUGCUCACCUCGUGGAGAAAAUUGACAGGAAGAAGUAAGGAAAGAAGGAAGACUCCACAGCAAAACUGUGAUGAGGAGCAGGAGACACCGAUUCAAUCCCUGGUCCAGGAGGAUCCAACAUGCCAUGGAGCAACUAAGCCCAUGCAGCACAACUACUGAACCUGGGCUCUAAAGCCUGUGCUCUGCAACAACAAAAUUCACCGCAGCUAGAGAGUAGACCCCGCUCUGUGCAACCAGAGAAAAGCCCACACAGCAACAAAGAUCCAGCACAGCCAAUAAA